RNAcentral lists this microRNA precursor (164 nucleotides) under Oryza brachyantha (malo sina). Its description in RNAcentral is "MIR812 microRNA precursor family". It matches the Rfam family "MIR812 microRNA precursor family", at positions 27 to 191 of the family's 205-position model. The record is from Rfam by way of RNAcentral. Lineage: Eukaryota; Viridiplantae; Streptophyta; Magnoliopsida; Poales; Poaceae.
AUAAUGUUUUGAUUUUUCGUUUUAUUUAAAAAUUUUUUGUAAUUAAUAUUUUUAUUCUUAUUAGACAAUAAAACAUGAAUUAUUUUAUGCGUGACUAUUUUUUUUAAGUUUUUGUGCAAAUUUUUUAAAUAAGACGAAUGGUCAAACGUUGGCAGAAAAAAUGA